ACUCAAAGGAAUUGACGGGGGCCCGCACAAGCGGUGGAUCAUGUGGUUUAAUUCGAAGCAACGCGAAGAACCUUACCUGGAUUUGACAUCCCUCGACAACUGUAGAAAUACAGCUUUUGUAGCAAUACAACGGGGAGACAGGUGCUGCAUGGCUGUCGUCAGCUCGUGUGGUGACAUGUUGGGUUAAGUCCCGCAACGAGCGCAACCCCUGUCCUUAGUUGCCAUCAUUAAGUUGGGCUCUCUAAGGAGACUGCCGUGGUUAACACGGAGGAAGGUGGGGAUGACGUCAAGUCCUCAUGGCCUUUAUAUCCAGGGCGACACACGUGAUACAAUGGACAUUACAAAGGGAUGCGAACCCGCGAGGGGGAGCCAAUCUCAAAAAGAUGUUCUCAGUUCGGAUUGGAGUCUGCAAUUCGACUCCAUGAAGGUGGAAUCGCUAGUAAUCGCGGAUCAGCACGCCGCGGUGAAUACGUUCCCGGGCCUUGUACACACCGCCCGU
RNAcentral lists this ribosomal RNA (499 nucleotides) under uncultured bacterium. Its description in RNAcentral is "partial 16S ribosomal RNA". It matches the Rfam family "Bacterial small subunit ribosomal RNA", at positions 899 to 1397 of the family's 1533-position model. The record is from RNAcentral.